RNAcentral lists this ribosomal RNA (389 nucleotides) under uncultured bacterium. RNAcentral's name for it is "bacterial SSU rRNA". It matches the Rfam family "Bacterial small subunit ribosomal RNA", at positions 76 to 448 of the family's 1533-position model. The record is from RNAcentral.
CUCUUCGGAGAUGAGUAAAGUGGUGCACAGGUGAGUAACGCGUGGGUAAUCUGCCCUUAGGUUUGGGAUAACCCCGGGAAACCGGAGCUAAUACCGAAUGAGACCACGAUGACUUCGGUCGACGUGGGAAAAGGUGGCCUCUUCUUGAAAGCUAUCGCCGAAGGAUGAGCCCGCGUUUGAUUAGCUAGUUGGUGAGGUAAUGGCUCACCAAGGCGACGAUCAAUAGCUGGUCUGAGAGGAUGAUCAGCCACACUGGAACUGAGACACGGUCCAGACUCCUACGGGAGGCAGCAGUCAGGAAUAUUGGGCAAUGGGCGAAAGCCUGACCCAGCAACGCCGCGUGAAGGAUGAAGGCCUUCGGGUUCGUAAACUUCUGUCGAGAGGGAAGA